RNAcentral lists this ribosomal RNA (460 nucleotides) under uncultured bacterium. RNAcentral's name for it is "partial 16S ribosomal RNA". It matches the Rfam family "Bacterial small subunit ribosomal RNA", at positions 338 to 795 of the family's 1533-position model. The record is from RNAcentral.
CCUACGGGAGGCAGCAGUGAGGAAUCUUGGUCAAUGGACGAGAGCCUGAACCAGCCAAGUAGCGUGAAGGAUGACUGCCCUAUGGGUUGUAAACUUCUUUUAUAUGGGAAUAAAAUGUUCCACGUGUGGGAUUUUGUAUGUACCAUAUGAAUAAGGAUCGGCUAACUCCGUGCCAGCAGCCGCGGUAAUACGGAGGAUCCGAGCGUUAUCCGGAUUUAUUGGGUUUAAAGGGAGCGUAGGUGGAUUGUUAAGUCAGUUGUGAAAGUUUGCGGCUCAACCGUAAAAUGGCAGUUGAAACUGGCAGUCUUGAGUACAGUAGAGGUGGGCGGAAUUCGUGGUGUAGCGGUGAAAUGCUUAGAUAUCACGAAGAACUCCGAUUGCGAAGGCAGCUCACUGGACUGCAACUGACACUGAGGCUCGAAAGUGUGGGUAUCAAACAGGAUUAGAUACCCUAGUAGUC